UACGAAGGGGGCUAGCGUUGCUCGGAAUUACUGGGCGUAAAGCGCACGUAGGCGGCUUUCUAAGUCGGGGGUGAAAUCCUGGAGCUCAACUCCAGAACUGCCUUCGAUACUGGAGAGCUUGAGUCCGGGAGAGGUGAGUGGAACUGCGAGUGUAGAGGUGAAAUUCGUAGAUAUUCGCAAGAACACCAGUGGCGAAGGCGGCUCACUGGCCCGGUACUGACGCUGAGGUGCGAAAGCGUGGGGAGCAAACAG
This 252-nucleotide ribosomal RNA is filed under the name uncultured bacterium. RNAcentral describes it as "partial 16S ribosomal RNA". It matches the Rfam family "Bacterial small subunit ribosomal RNA", at positions 524 to 775 of the family's 1533-position model. The record is from RNAcentral.